RNAcentral lists this non-coding RNA (22 nucleotides) under Arabidopsis thaliana (thale cress). The record is from RNAcentral. Lineage: Eukaryota; Viridiplantae; Streptophyta; Magnoliopsida; Brassicales; Brassicaceae.
UCGGGUCAUAACGGAGGCCUAG